AACGAACGCUGGCGGCAUGCCUAACACAUGCAAGUCGAACGAGACCUUCGGGUCUAGGGGCGCACGGGUGCGUAACGCGUGGUAACCUGCCCUUAGGUUCGGAAUAACUCCCCGAAAGGGGUGCUAAUACCGGAUAAUGUCUUCGGACCAAAGAUUUAUCGCCUUUGGAUGGGCCCGCGUUGGAUUAGCUAGUUGGUAGGGUAAAAGCCUACCAAGGCGACGAUCCAUAGCUGGUCUGAGAGGAUGAUCAGCCACACUGGGACUGAGACACGGCCCAGACUCCUACGGGAGGCAGCAGUGGGGAAUAUUGGACAAUGGGCGAAAGCCUGAUCCAGCAAUGCCGCGUGAGUGAUGAAGGCCUUAGGGUUGUAAAGCUCUUUUACACGGGAUGAUAAUGACAGUACCGGGAGAAUAAGCUCCGGCUAACUCCGUG
Molecule: ribosomal RNA, 433 nt
Filed under: uncultured bacterium
Lineage: Bacteria
Description: partial 16S ribosomal RNA
Rfam family: Bacterial small subunit ribosomal RNA
Source: RNAcentral